AGACUGCAGGCUGCAACUCGCCUGCACGAAGUCGGAAUUGCUAGUAAUCGUAGGUCAGCAUGCUACGGUGAAUACGUUCCCGGGCCUUGUACACACCGCCCGUCAAACCAUGAGAGUUGGCAACACCCGAAGUCGGUAGUCUAACCGCAAGGAGGACGCCGCCGAAGGUGGGGUUGAUGAUUAGGGUUAAGUCGUAACAAGGUAAC
RNAcentral lists this ribosomal RNA (206 nucleotides) under uncultured bacterium. RNAcentral describes it as "partial 16S ribosomal RNA". It matches the Rfam family "Bacterial small subunit ribosomal RNA", at positions 1295 to 1500 of the family's 1533-position model. The record is from RNAcentral.